AUUGUAAAUACUAAAUAUAUGUCAAAACAAAUUAAAUUACACCGAUUCUGUAUAUAUCCUCAAGUUUUAGAGGUCAGAUAUAAUUUUAAACAAAUCAAUUACACCUUUUCCAUAACGAAAAGUAGAGGAAGAAUGAAAAGGUUUAAUAGAGAUAAUAAAUUCGGUAUAAAUUUUACGGAGAAUUUCUUCCUCAAUUGCCCAAUACAAUAUCGGUGAACAAAGAAUUGAGAUGGAUCUCACUCUGAUAUCAUGUAAAGAAUAUAUUUUGAAUCUAACUUAAUCCAAAAGACUAGCUCAUGAGGGGAGAUUGUCUACAUACAUAUAAGGAGACCAAUAACCUAUUUAUUUUUUUUCGAUAUGAGACUCUUAACAAAAAUGAAGAGUGCUCACCUUCUGCAUAACUCUCUCUUGUCUCAUCCUCAGUAUAUGCAGGAUGGAUGCUUAGCUACACAAUAGUUGAAUACAAGUUCUCCAAAAACUAAACUAUACAUGAUAUUAUCCUUCCUCUAACUAGAUAAACUAAUUAAUACAUAUGCAUUCUUCGUUAAAUGUAUACCACUAAUUAAACAAAUAUAAGGAUAAACUCACCAACAUGGGUAGUGGUGCAGUGGUGGGAUUACUUCACCUUUAAUCAGAGAUCUCGGAUUUGAGUCCUGGGUAAGGAGAAAAUCUUGUAGGGAGCACUAUCUUCAAAAUAGGCCCCGCAAUAUGUGAUCCGGAUUAAUCCCCGUCAAUAAAGAUAACGGACACCGAACACUGGGUGAGAAAAUAAAAAGUAAGGACAAACUCAGUAUUGAGAUGUCCUAACAAAGAAGCAGAAAGAAAGAAUGACUGCAGCCAAACUAAUUAAUAUGCUGAACUACCACCACGAAUAAGCAGUUGUAAAGGACAACAUAUGUUAUGAUUACUAUGUAAUAUUUAAGAAAGAAAAAGAGGUGUCUUCGUACGUACAUUAAUGUUCCUCUUGACUCCAACAUCGACACGUUGUUACUUAAAAUUUUUAGUCCCCUAGCUACUCAUGGCUUGUUAUGCAUAAUGCUCUAGGUAUCCCAGAAUAUUAUUGCCUCUCCCGAUGCUGGUUGGUUUUCUCAUAAAUAUAUAGAUAUGUCAAAAGUAAUUAAUUGCAUUCACCAUAUCAAACAGCGUCAAUAUUAUCUCAAAUAUACAGUCUUCUUCUUAAAAUUAUGCCUCGCAUCGUAAAGUUCUUUCAGACAGACUAAGAAAUGAAAAAACACUAUCGGGGAUAGACUAGCUAGCUACCUUCUGUAGAAUUCAAUAUCUUAUUUUCAGAAAAAUAGGAGGUUAGGGUAUUAGGGAUGAUAAAAUAAAGAAUCGAAUCUACACCAAAUAAAUAAAAUAUCGGAUAAUCAACCAAUUGAGCCACUAUAAUUUUUCGGCCCUAUAAUUUAAUAGUAUUGCUCGAUAACGACAUAAAUCUUCCUUCUCUCUCAUAAUACAGCCUUUGUUAAAUGACAAUAGCUAGAAGUAUGAAACUCACAAUUUACAGCUUUGAAUUUUACGAAGUUAGGGGUAACUAUUAAGUCGAUCUGGCCAAUUAAUUGUAUAGUACGAAGUCGGGGUGAUCUCGACCUAUCAAUGCAGGUACUUUUUAUGCACUGAAAUUGUACCAUUACAUCUGUCCACACAGUACUAGAUACAAUAGUCACCCUUAAAUCUACCUAGUAUGGACUAAUAAAUCGAUUCCAAAAAAUGUACAGUGGCUAGUAUAUAUGGACACACUGAAAAUAUCUAGCCAACUAAUUAAGACAGUGUUUGAAUUAACUUAUUUUGAGAUGUUAUUGACUUUUAAGUACUUUAAAAUUUUUGAAGAUGUUUAAUAAAGACAAAAAAUAUUUGUAAGCACUUUGCUAUAGGUAAAAAGGUACCCAAAAAAAGUAAAAAAUUGGUAGCAAACAAUCAGUUUUUGACUUUUAGGUUUUAGUUUAUAACAACAAUAACAAUAACAGUGUAUUCCCACAAAGUGAGGUAUGGGGAGGGUAAGAUGUACGCAGUUCAUACCACUAUAUCUGAAGAAGUAGAGAGGUUGUUUCCGAUAGACCCCCGGCUCAAGAUGGAGAAUAGUACAUCAAGAUAGUAAAGAAACAUGUAACAGGAAAAGAUGACAUACAGAAACAAGACAUAAUAGAAAUAAUUAUCAGAGAAGUACGAAAAACAGAAGUACGAGCAAUUUGAAAUAAGAAAUAAGCACUAGGACACCACCUAGUAGAAACCUACAUUCACAAACCAGAGGCUCCUCCUUAAGGACACAGUCCUAGUAACAUACACUCACCCACCCCACCCAAACUCACCUGGCUAAAGGCCCCUACUCAAGGACACAGGCCUAGGAUUACUGCCCGGCUACCCAAUCGGUCUCCUAACACCUUACCAAAAUCCACACACUCACCCUAACCUUCUACCCUAAUUCGCAACCUCCACACCUUCCUAUCUAGGGUCAUGUCUUCAGUAAGCUGCAGCUGCUCCAUGUCAUGUAUAAUCACCUCCAUCCAGUACUUCUUCGGCCUACCUCUACUUCUCCUAAAGCCAUCCAAAGCUAGCAUCUCACACCUUCAAACUGGGGCAUCCGUGCCCCUCCUCAUCAUAUGACCAAACCAUCUCAACCUUCUUUCUCACAUCUUAUCCUCCAUCGAAGCCACUCUCACCUUCUCUUGGAUCGUUUCAUUCCUAACUCUAUCCCCACUAGUAAGUCCACACAUCCAGCGCAACAUUCUCAUUUCCGCCACCUUCAUUCUUUGGAUGUGAGAGUACUUGACUGGCCUACACUCCGCUCCAUACAGCAUGGUCGGGCGAACUGCCACUCUAUAGAAUUUGUCUUUAAGCUUAAGGGGAACCUUCUUAUCACACAACACUCCAGAGGCGAGCUUCCACUUCAUCCACCCUGCUCCAAUACGUUUAGAGACAUCCUCAUCAAUCUCGUUAUUCCCCUGAAUCAUAGACCUAAGAUACUUAAAACUGUCCUCUUACAAAUAUCCUGUGAAUCUAACCUCACCACCACUUUGUCCUCCUAACUCGCGUCACUAAACUUGCAUUCCAAAUACUCUGUCUUGGAUCUACUCAACCUGAACCCUUAGACUCGAGGAUUUUUCUCCAAACCUUCAGUUUCUCAUUCACACACCCCCGCGUUUCAUCAAUCAGUACUACAUCAUUCGAAAAUAGCAUACACCAAGGCAACUCACCUUGAAUACUCCACAUCAACACGUCUAUUACCAAUGCAAAAAGGAAAGGGCUAAGAGUCGAUCCCUGAUGCAAUCCCGUCUCGACCGAAAAAUGCCCUGAGUUACCUCCCGCCAUUCUCACCUGAAUCUUUCCUCCAUCGUACAUGUCCUUAAUAGGUCUGAUGUAUGCCACCGAAACACCUCUAACCUCCAAGCAUCUCCAAAGAACCUCUCUAGGGACUUUGUCAUACAUUUUGUCCAAGUCCAUGAACACCAUGUGGAAAUCCCUCUUCUUUUCCCUAUUGUCACACUCUUUUUUUCGACAAAAAGAUUGAUUUUAAAUGCUUCGAAAGGGGUUUUUAUUCUUAAGUGACAAAAUAAAGAUUGGUUUCGAAAAAGACUUUUUAUAUUCCUAGGAGGUACAUCUUCUAGGAAUAAAGGGGUAUGACUCGACUAAAAGGUACGUCUUAUAGGAAUCAAGGGAGAUAACUCAACUAAAAGAUACUUUUUCUAAGAGUUAAGGGGAAUGACUUGACUAGAAGGUACGUCUUAUAGGAAUUAAAGGAGAUGACUCGACUAAAAGGUACGUCUUAUAGGAAUCAAGGGAAUGACUUGACUAAAAGGUACGUCUUAUAGGAAUCGAGGGAGAUGACUCAACUAAAAGGUACAUCUUAUAGAAAUCAAGGGAGAUGACUCGACUAAAAGGUACGUCCUAUAGGAAUCAAGGGAGAUGACUCUACUAAAAGGUACGUCUUAUAGGAAUCAUAGGGAAUGACUCGACUAAAAGGUACUUCUUCUAGGAAUCAAAGGGGGAUGACUCGACUACAAGGUACGUCUUCUAGGGGUCAAAGAAUGACUCAACUAAAAGGUACGUCUUAUAGGGAUCAAGGAAUAACUCGACUAAAAGGUACGUCUUAUAGAGGUCAAAAGGAAUGACUCGACUAAAAGGUACGUCUUAUAGGGGUCAAGGAAUGAAUCGACUAAAAGGUACGUCUUAUAAGGGUCAAGCGGAAUGACUCGACUAAAAGGUACGUCUUAUAGGAAUCAAAGGAAUUGACUCGACUAAAAGGUACAUCUCUUAGGAGUGAAGGUUCAAUUUAAAAAGUGUAUCACCUAACAAAUGAAAACUGAAAUCCCUGGACAAGUGUGUCUUCGAGGGAUAUAGGAUGAUGAAUUUUUACCAUGAUUUUAUUAUCAAACCUGUGCAGUAAUAUUGCUUUCUGUAUUUGUAAAAGUGAGGCAUUGCAGCCCUUGAUGUUUAUGCUUUGAAGUCCCUGCUUUGAAGGUAAUAUGCUUCCUGUUUCAUCAAAGAAAACUCAUGAGUUUAAAACAUGGUGGCUGGUUUGUGGCUUUAGCUUUCCCGACGAUCGCUCUUGCCCUCGUCAUAUUUAACCUUGCUUCCAAUCAUUAUCAUAUAUCAUUGACUUACUGAGUCAUUGACCCGAACUCAGAUUAUUAAGAGUGACUGAAACAAACACAGUAUCUCUGCUUUGCCCUGCUUCUCAAAUAGACCCUUUGAACCUUGGUAUGUCCAUGAGUUCCCCAACUUGUCAGUUGAUAAAACUUUCUGCAUGCCUUUUUUUUUUGGCUCACAAUUAUGUCUCUUUCAUGUGCUAGCUUUUGUCUUGCUUUGUGCAAUUAAAGAAGCUGGUAGCCAGUUUUGAAAUCUUUUCUCACUUGUUUUGACACGGAUUUGACCUAAAGACAAGAAAGAAAAAAAGUGACAAUUUUUUUUUUUGGAUAACUGACUCAAGAAAAAUAAAACAAAAAUAAAAAGAAGAAAGAAAAGACAAUGAACGUCCCCAUUUGAAACAAAGAAAUAAAAAAUUUAUCUAAAAAUGACAGUUAACUCUAAUGAAUAUGCCAUGCAUUUUGGAUUAAGCAACUUGAUCUUUUCAUCCAAACUUUCUGCUAAUUGUUGUUGAGUUAAUGGCCAUGAAAUUGAGUUGCUCCCUUAGGCUAAAUUCAUUUGGAAACCUCAUUCGGCUAGUGGCGCCUUGAAGGGUUUUCGCCAACAAAGCUGUUUUUUUCUCUCAGCUCACCAUUUCCUUAUGGUGUCCGUGAGGGUUUUCACCAAUAAGACUCUCUCAUUUUUAUUUCACUUAACUUACCAUCGCCUUAUGGUGCCCGUGAGGGUUUUCACCAAUAAGAUUCUGUCAUUUUUAUUUCUCUCCUGAUAUCUUAUGCUGAGGAAGACAAGUAGUACCCAAAAUGCAUCAUCAUAUCCAUUGCAUACUUAGCCUUAGCAUUCUCAAAGAUUAAUCUGAAGGUCUUUCUUUGGUUGUAACUUGAAUUUUGGAUAAAGUUAGAAAGAAGGGAUGACAUAAGGCCCAAACGACACUUGAAGUGGUAUAGGACUUACAACUUUUAGAAUCGACUCAAACAAUGAGGAUUAACUUAUGCCCCGAUUUCUUUUGACUGGGUAAUGCUAAAUUAUUUAUUUAGUUAGACCGAGCCCAGAGUAGGGCAGCCUACGUAUCUCACCCCUGAUAGAGGAGAAUCAGGUCACGCAUAGUUCUGGCAACUUGUUCUUUUGCUUGGUUCUGAUUUUUUUUUUGCUUUUCUCUUUUAUUGACUUUUUUUUUCUUUGAAACUUUCUGACUCUAUUUGUCUCGACACUUUUCUUUUUUACUUUCUUUUUGGACAUUUUUUUUUACUUUACUAUUUUGAUCGAUACUUUUCUUUUGAGCUUCGCUGACUCUAUCUUGAUUCCAAAAGUAGGGUAUGAAAGAAAAUAACACUAAGGCUCAAAUGGGGUAAACAAAGGAUGACACAAUAUCUGGAUAGCAGAAUAAAAUGUCUUCGUUAUAUCAAUCCUUAAAAAUGCAGUACAUAGCAUGAAAUGUGAAGGUACGUAAUCAAUAUCACUUAUGACAUGUUUUACAACACAAAAUUGCCCCGAGCAUAUGUGCAACCUCUUCCUCUAUAUUUGUCGAACAACAACUCUACCUUUGUUGUACAUCCCUCACAUUGAAUGACUCAUGCUUUCAUGAAGUUGGUUUUUGUUCUGUUCCUCGGGAGCACACAUCCGUUAUUUGACCUAAUUGAGCUUCAAUUGAUGACCAAGUUAUUCUUGUGAUUCUCAAAAUAAUUGCCUUAUUUGAACUUAUCACCAAAUAUCUCAGCACUCUACCUAUUUUCUCAGAUGCUCUCUUUUUCUAACUUUAACCCUCUGAUUCAAUGUUUCAUGGUUAAGCUGGAUUUUAAGAUCUGACCGAAAAUUCCCCAGUCAUGUCAUAACACUAGAAUCAACAUAAAAUAUGAUAUGUAAAGCAAACAAACACAUAUUUAAAACACAAAGGAAAAGGGACACUUCAUUUAGUUGAAAUAAAAGAUAGAAAGAUUUGAACAUAAAUGACAUAGGGACAAAACAAGAUAGAUCCCAAACUACAACCUUAAAAUAAUUUGAAAAAUAGAAAACAAAACAAAACAAACUACCAGACCGCUUCCUAGUAGGGAGAUGGGUGAUUUCUCAAUUGCUCAGCCUGACAUCUUAGCCACUGGUUUGCAUAUCAGCAUGACUAGGGCUUUCCUCACUGUCAAUGUUCUGCACCAUAAUUGAUCCAUCUUGAAUCAUCUUUUUAAUUUCUCUUUUCAAAUCUCGACAAUCUUCAAUACUAUGACCUUGAGCAUCACAAUGAUAUGCACAUCGUACGUUAGGAUCAAAAUUUCUUGAACACUAAUUAAGAGUGUGACCAAAGAGAGGAGUAAUCAUGCCCCACUGUACCAAUCUCUGAAAUAAAUUGGCAUACAACUCUCCAAUUGGUGUAAAGCUAUCUCUCGAAUUCUACCUCAUUUCAUCAUUUGGCUUGGAUUGAAAAUCAGGCUUAGAAGGGUUUUGGUAUGUUUUUGGAGUUAGAAGACGACUCUGAGAAGUUGGUGUGUUCCACUGUGGGUAAGAUAGGGGUUGAACAUAUAGCUGUGCAUUAUAUAUUGGAUAUGGAGGUGGAGGAGCAGAGUAUAAUGGAUUUUGGGAGUGAUUAUGUGGAGCUUGGGCAUGAACUUGGGUUUGAGCCUGAGAGCGACGACGACGUGGUCUCCUUGACCUUUCCUGCUGUCCAAAUACAAUAGAAGAUACAUCUUCUUCAUUCUUUUUCUCCCCAACACAUCCUGAACCCUUUUGAAUUGCUUGAGUAGUCGUUUUUAAUAUUACAAAACUCACAAUGCGAACAAUCUUAAUUCCCUCUUAUAUCAUCUCCCCUAUUUUAAAGACCUCAAUGAACGGCUUGCCUAAUGCAGGUAACAAGUGUUGAUAAUAUGUUUCGUCCUGCGCUUGAAUAAAUACCUGCACUAUCUUGCUUUCUUUCAUUGGCGGUUUCACUCUAGCAGCUUGUUCGUGCCAUCUGAUCGCAUACUCCCUGAAGCUCUCAGUAUUCUUCUUCUUCUUCUUCUUCAUACUAGUUAGGGAUUUUUCGUCAGGGAUCAACUCCACAUUGUAUUAAAAUUGUUGCACAAAUUCAUUAGCUAGGUCAUCCCAACUAAUCCACUUGUUAAUGUCUUGUCAACUAACCAUUCCAAAGCUAGGCCUGAAAGACUCUCCCCAAAAUAAGUCAUGAGUAGUUCUUCUUUCCCUCUAGUGCCCCUUAAUUGGUUACAAUAACGUCUCAAAUAUUCCACUGGGUCCCCAUGUCCGUCAUAUUUCUCAAACUUUGGCAUUUUAAAAUCGGGAGGAAGGUUGACACCUAGAAACAUGCAUAAGUCCUUAUAUGAGACACUUUUGUAACCCCCAAGUCCUUGCAAGUUUUUCAUAGCUAGUUCCAAACUUCUUAAUUUUUUGUUCUUCUAUCAUAAUAGGCUUCUCAGUGUUAGGAGGAAAUUCAGGCGGGUGAGUGUCACUGUAAAGACCAAUCAACUUGAAUGUAGGCUCGGAAGUGUAACGCUGAUCACCAGUAAUAUUCAAUACAGGCUCUCUUGUAGAGUUGGGAGACACAACUUGUGGAUGAAUAUCAAAAGUAAAAGCUUCGGGUAGGGGUGGCUCCACAAAAGUACGAACAACAGGUGGAGCUGAGUAUGUGGUAUUCUUGGAUUGGGGAGUGAGGAAAUGAACAUUGGAAGUGGUUGUAUAUUGUUGCCUCGGAGUUGAUCCUGAUGCAUGUUGUGGCACAUCAACAAAAAUGGGAAAUUGGGCAUGUGACACGGGAGGCAAGCUAGAAAGAUAUUCUAGAUUAUCAGUGGGAACUUGGGGAGGAGGCAACCCAUUAGCCCAAGCUCGAUGCAUUUCUAUCAUUUGCUGCCUUAAUUUCUGAAUCUCUUCAUUAGCUCCUAAAUUCUCAUUUCCCGAACUCUCUUUCUGAUUAGUGACAACAAACUUGAUAUCCUUGUUGGCCAUAGCUUUUUCUGUGACUUGGUGCAAUAAGGAGGACCAACCAAAAUGCCACAAAUCAACCACCUUAAACUAACUGUAUAAGAGAUAUCAAAUGCGUUAGAGUUCAGCAAUUUUUCAAAAUCUCUUUUUUUCUUGAAAAGAUCACCAAACCCAAGAAUGACGCCUACAUAACUCACCCUCGAGAGGAGAGAAUCAGGUGUGCGUAGUUCGUGAUGUCUUGCCAAAAUGGCCAACUAAACUCUUUUUCCUUUUUUUUUUCUUUUUCUUGAAACUUUAAAAAGAAAAGGAAAUAAUAAAUUGUCAAAAUAAUCGACGAAAAUCUUUUUGCAUUUUUCAGAUUUAAACCUAUACAAAAUGAAACCUAUGAUUACCAAAGAAACUCUUUUGGGGGUUUCAAUUUUGAAUUUAAUAUGAAAAUAAAACUUGAAACUAUUAACAGAAUAUCUUUUUGUGUUUUUCUUUUAGAAGAUGUAUAUAACACCCACUCUAAGUGAAGAGUGAAGAAAGUCUUUUUUAAAUUUUUUCAGAUUUCUAUACAAAAUGAAACCUACGAUUAUCAAAGAAAAAUCUUUUUGGAUUUUCAAUUUUGCAUUUCAUACAUAAAUAAAAUUUGAAAUUAUUAAAGGAAAAUCGUUUUGUAAUUUUCUCUUGAAGAUGUACAUGAAACACCCACUCUAAAUGAAUAUUGAAUAAAAUAUUUUUUUGGAUUUUUGAACCCCGAACCCACAAUAGGCUGCCUAAGUAUCUCACUCCCGAAAGAGGAGAAUCAGUGGUGCGUAGUUCGUCCAGAUAGGAUAAUUAUGAAUUAAAUGAUAAACUAAACCCUGAAUUGAGAGACACCACUAAAGACAAAUGAAUAAAAUAUUUUUUAGGAUUUUCACUUUGACACUCUACAUAAAAUUGACACCAACAACUAUGAAAGAAAAAUCUUUUUGGUAUUUUCAUGAAAUUUACAAAACUCCUAUAAUUUUUGCAUUUUUCUUUUAUAAAAAUCCUAUAAAUGAAAAAUCUUUUUUUGAAGUUUUCGAAUUGUGAAUACUUGCUAAAGGAAACAAAAAAAAAAAUCUUUUUGAUGUUUUUGAUUUUGACAAAUGAGUGCAAAAGGUAAAAAUCUUUUUGAAUUUUUGGAUUGUGAAGAACAAAAGCCAUAAAAAAAACUCUAAAAAAACUACGAAACUCUUUUUCGAUUCGACUUUUCUCUUUUUUCCCUCUUUUUUUUUUUUUGAAAAAACUUUUUCUUGCCUACACACUUCCUUUAAUUCUAGUAUAUGCUUUUGCCCAAAUCAAUCUGUCAAAUAACUCUAUUACCCUCAAAGAUGCAAUAUUUAGCACGUAGGGAUGCUUUAGAGGUGAGUCUUCUACAAAGGGUCAAGUGGAUCCCGUUAGAUCUCAAUAUGAAGCAAAUAAGCAUGACCUAAAGGCUGACCUACGCUGGGAUUCACUAACAAGGCUAUUCGGGAGAGCGUAUGGUCGAUAGUGGCUGCGCUAGCUUUUCACCCACUCCAUACCAGCCGACAGCUCCCCCUCCUAAAAAUAAGGGUGACUCAACUAUAGGUCAUGUACACAGCGUGUACUAGAGAACUUGUUGCAUAAAAAAUUAACUUGGGUUAUACAAAUGAUGCCAGAUAUAAAGCGAUAACACAUAAGAGAAAAACUGUAAACACGUAGCACGUAGGUACUCAACAACGAUAAACAAAUACCUAAUAACACAACAAUGUCUAUACACCCAUAAUAUCAAAUUAAGCCGAUACAACUCCAAAAAAUAAGCUCAAAUUCUGAAAGUCCCCAGCAGAGUCGCCAAAGCUGUCACACCCCAUUUUUCAAUAAAAAGAUAGAUUUUAAAUGCUUCGAAAGGGUUUUUUAUUAUUAAGUGACAAAAUGAAGAUUUAUUUCGAAAAGGACUUUUUAUAUUGAAAACUCAGAGUCGCCACUUGGCAUAAUCUGGUGUACCAAGUCUCCUUUGAAAAAUCCUUUUCAAAACUGUUCUGACUCUUUAAAACUGAUUUGCGAAUAGAGAUUCCGGCUAAGGAAUUCUAUUGACUGAGGGGAAGGUGUUAGGCACCCCUCGAUCCCGUAGUUCGACUACGGUCUCUUGGUGAAGUGUAUCGGCUAAUUUAAAAUUACGGAUGUAUAAACCACAUUAACAUGCAAAACAAGAAAACAAACAAAUGAAACAAAAAUUCAAAAUCAGAAUAAUGUCCAGUUCAAAUUAUAUAGUCCAGGAAUAAAUAAUGAGGAAAUAUAAAUCUAUUCUACCCUAUACUAAUCCUUUACUACGCUCCAUUGCUUCCCCGACGCCUCGGGCUUUCCUCACGAACGUCUUCCGCCAACAUAGUACGUCGGGACAUUUCUAGAUGAGUAAAUACAAUUGUCUUGGGGCAUUUCCCGACUAAAUGAAUACAUUUGAAUUAAAUACGAUAAACUAGAAAGAAACAUUCAUACGCACAUUCCAACAUUCAACCUAAAUGACAAGUUCUAAAAUUUUGCCUACCCGAACCUAUAUUGCCUAUCCGUUUCAACCUAUUAUAGAUCUAUCAUGGUUCAUACAAUAUUCAUGUUUAUUCCAUAUUAAACAAACAAUAAUAAACUCAAGUUAAUCUAAUUCAACCAUUUUUAUCAAGUUCUCAAUUCCACCCCGCUAGCUUCGUUUUUAUCAAUUACACCAUCACCAUUACUCCAAUUUGUUCUCAUAUCACCGAAAUCACAUCAUCAAACACAUAAUCAUCACAUCAUAACAUUAUAACAUCAACAAAAAUCACCAACCAUGAUCAUACCACACAUAAUCACAACAAUUCAACAAAUUAAGGUAAAAAAGAAUGAGUUAAGAGAAUGGACCUUUCGAUAAUCAAUUUCGGUUGAUAGAAAUAUUAAAGAAGCCCCGGAUUUAGAAUUUCCAAUCGAAAACCUCAGCAGCUUCACAAUCCAACUUGGUAUCAAGGCAAUAUUAACCAAUCAAUUUCAAAAACCAGUGAGACAACUCUUAAUGGGCAAACCAAAUCACGAACGUUGAUAUGACUUAAAUGCGUAGACCUCAAAAACCCAAUAUCAAAAUGAACUGCGAGAAUCACGAACCCAAAACCCAAUCACAACCGCAAACCAAAAAUGAUUAGCCUGAGCUCCGGUGUGCUUAAACGGAAGCAGAAAUGACAAAUCAAAAGGGAUUCCAGUGAAUGUUAAAGUUUUCUGGCUGGGUUUGCUUUGAAAUCGAUGGAAAACAAAGAGAUUUAAGUACCUUAGGCUUGAAUCGAUCAAAAGGGUGACCUAUAAACUUAUUUCGGUAAAAGUUUCACCGGAAAACAGUCAAACCGGUGGAUUCACGUUCUUAUCCCUUUCCCGAUCUCCCUCCUUCAAUCCCUCUUCAUUUUAUUGAUUUCCUCUUCCUAUGUAGGUGUAUAUUGCGAGUGAGUGUAUGUGUGUGGUAUUCCGUGAGAAUGUGCGAAGAACAAAAAAAGAAGAGGGAAGAUCAUCCCUUUAAUGGCGUCUCUGUGUAUGUGCUUUUACAAAGAAGAAAGAAAAAGAAGCCAAAAAUGUUUUCUCUAUUCGUCCCCUCCUCAAAAUGGGUUCUCCUCUGUAUACUAUAUUGGAAAAGGAUCCUUCCCUGGAAAGUUCCUUUUUUAGUGUAUUUAUAAUAUUCUUUUUUUUUUUGUUUUUUUGUGAAUUAGUUUAAAAGGCCGUGAGAAAGGUAGGGGUAGGAGGGACACGUGAACGGGUGAGGGGGUAGGGGUAGGUAGGUGAGAUGUGAGGUGUCCUCUUUUAAUUGGAGAGAUUGUUAGGAUAGGAUUAAAAUAAGGUAAAAUUUGUUAAGGGUUGUUUUUGUUGUAUUUUAUGGAGGGAUAAUUACAUGGGUG
This 12347-nucleotide long non-coding RNA is filed under the name Capsicum annuum. RNAcentral describes it as "long non-coding RNA (CANN_LNC004419)". Lineage: Eukaryota; Viridiplantae; Streptophyta; Magnoliopsida; Solanales; Solanaceae. The record is from RNAcentral.